RNAcentral lists this ribosomal RNA (429 nucleotides) under Bacteroidota bacterium. RNAcentral describes it as "Bacteroidetes bacterium partial 16S ribosomal RNA". It matches the Rfam family "Bacterial small subunit ribosomal RNA", at positions 355 to 776 of the family's 1533-position model. Lineage: Bacteria; Pseudomonadati; Bacteroidota. The record is from RNAcentral.
UAGGGAAUCUUCGGCAAUGGGGGGAACCCUGACCGAGCAACGCCGCGUGAGUGAAGAAGGUUUUCGGAUCGUAAAGCUCUGUUGUUAAGGAAGAACGAGUGUGAGAAUGGAAAGUUCAUGCUGUGACGGUACUUAACCAGAAAGGGACGGCUAACUACGUGCCAGCAGCCGCGGUAAUACGUAGGUCCCGAGCGUUGUCCGGAUUUAUUGGGCGUAAAGCGAGCGCAGGCGGUUAGAUAAGUCUGAAGUUAAAGGCAGUGGCUCAACCAUUGUAGGCUUUGGAAACUGUUUAACUUGAGUGCUGAAGAGGAAAGUGGAAUUCCAUGUGUAGCGGUGAAAUGCGCAGAGAUAUGGAGGAACACCAGUGGCGAAGGCGACUUUCUGGUCUGUAACUGACGCUGAUGUGCGAAAGCGUGGGGAUCAAACAGG